GACGAACGCUGGCGGCGUGCUUAACACAUGCAAGUCGAACGGAGUGGCGAACGGGUGAGUAACACGUGAGUAACCUGCCUUUUUCUUUGGGAUAACGCUCAGAAAUGAGUGCUAAUACUGGAUGGAGGGAGAUGGGCUCGCGGUUUAUCAGCUUGUUGGUGGGGUGAUGGCUUACCAAGGCGUUGACGGGUAGCCGGUCUGAGAGGAUGAACGGCCACAUUGGGACUGAGACACGGCCCAGACUCCUACGGGAGGCAGCAGUGGGGAAUCUUCCGCAAUGGACGAAAGUCUGACGGAGCAACGCCGCGUGAGUGAUGACGGCCUUCGGGUUGUAAAGCUCUGUUAAUCGGGACGCGGUACCGGAAUAGAAAGCCACGGCUAACUACGUGCCAGCCGCCGCGGUAAUUC
This 408-nucleotide ribosomal RNA is filed under the name uncultured bacterium. RNAcentral describes it as "partial 16S ribosomal RNA". It matches the Rfam family "Bacterial small subunit ribosomal RNA", at positions 28 to 526 of the family's 1533-position model. The record is from RNAcentral.